Molecule: ribosomal RNA, 457 nt
Filed under: uncultured bacterium
Lineage: Bacteria
Description: partial 16S ribosomal RNA
Rfam family: Bacterial small subunit ribosomal RNA
Source: RNAcentral
CCUACGGGAGACUGCAGUGGGGAAUAUUGCACAAUGGGGGAAACCCUGAUGCAGCGACGCCGCGUGAGUGAAGAAGUAUUUCGGUACGUAAAGCUCUAUCAGCAGGGAAGAAAAAAAGUCCUUUGGACUUUGGACGGUACCUGACCAAGAAGCCCCGGCUAACUACGUGCCAGCAGCCGCGGUAAUACGUAGGGGGCAAGCGUUAUGCGGAUUUACUGGGUGUAAAGGGAGCGUAGACGGUCCUGCAAGCCAGAUGUGAAAGCCCGGGGCUCAACCCCGGGACUGCAUUUGGAACUGUAAGGCUAGAGUGUCGGAGAGGCAGGCGGAAUUCCUAGUGUAGCGGUGAAAUGCGUAGAUAUUAGGAGGAACACCAGUGGCGAAGGCGGCCUGCUGGACGAUGACUGACGUUGAGGCUCGAAAGCGUGGGGAGCAAACAGGAUUAGAUACCCGUGUAGUC